This is a long non-coding RNA of Ctenopharyngodon idella (grass carp), 394 nucleotides long. RefSeq lists it as uncharacterized. The transcript is spliced from 2 exons. The record is from RefSeq and is a predicted model, not a curated record. Lineage: Eukaryota; Metazoa; Chordata; Actinopteri; Cypriniformes; Xenocyprididae.
ACCAGUGGUUGAAAAGUAUUUUUUAUUAAACUAGAAGUCAAAUUUACAUAAGAAAAGUGCAAAUUUACAGUUCAUUUAAAAAUACAUUUUGAUGACAUUUUAAUUUGAGUAUUUUCCUUCGUCACAAACUCUUUCGGUUGAAUUCUUAAAGAACUUAAAGUAUAACAAGAAAGAAAAAAGUACAUCUUUGUUCCAUCAGGUUAAACAAAACACUUAGAACACAAUUAAUAUUAAUGUCUUCUUGCAGCUUCGACUUCUGUUAAAUUUGUUUCACUUUUAUUUACGUUCGUAUCAACAGGGCUUGUUGCGUUAAUGAUGAUUAAACUGCGUCAUGUACAUUCAAACCUUCGAUUGAUGUAUGACAUCAUAUCAGCUAACGGUAAAGAAUCUAAAA